This 497-nucleotide ribosomal RNA is filed under the name uncultured bacterium. RNAcentral's name for it is "partial 16S ribosomal RNA". It matches the Rfam family "Bacterial small subunit ribosomal RNA", at positions 28 to 507 of the family's 1533-position model. The record is from RNAcentral.
GACGAACGCUGGCGGCGUGCCUAAUACAUGCAAGUCGAGCGGACGGACGCGACGCUUGCUUCUUUGAUGUUAGCGGCGGACGGGUGAGUCACACGUGGAUACCCCACCUAUAAUACUGAUAUAACUUCGGGACACCGUCUCAUACCCCGGAUAAUAUUUUGCUCCGCAUUGUUCAAAAGUGAAAGACGGUCUUGCUGUCACUUAUCGAUGGAUCUGCGCUGCUUUAGCUAGUUGGUGAGGUCACGGCUUACCAAGGCAACGAUGCAUAGCCGACCUGAGAGGGUGGUCAGCCAGACUGGAACUGAGACACGGUACAGAGUCCUACGGGAGGCAGCAGUAGGGAAUCUGGCGGAAGGAGCGAAAGCCUGACGGAGAAGCGGCGCGUGAGUGAUGGAGGUCUUCGGAUCGUAAAGCUCGGUUAUGAGGGAAGAACAUAUGUGGAAGUAACUGUGCACAGCGUGACGGUACCUAAUCAGAAAGCCACGGCUAACUACGUG